This 650-nucleotide ribosomal RNA is filed under the name uncultured bacterium. RNAcentral describes it as "bacterial SSU rRNA". It matches the Rfam family "Bacterial small subunit ribosomal RNA", at positions 8 to 655 of the family's 1533-position model. The record is from RNAcentral.
AGAGUUUGAUCAUGGCUCAGAUUGAACGCUGGCGGCAGGCCUAACACAUGCAAGUCGAACGGUAGCAGGAUGUGCUUGCACAUCGCUGACGAGUGGCGGACGGGUGAGUAAUGCUUGGGAACUUGCCUUUGCGAGGGGGAUAACAGUUGGAAACGACUGCUAAUACCGCAUAACGUCUUCGGACCAAACGGGGCUUAGGCUCCGGCGCAGAGAGAGGCCCAAGUGAGAUUAGCUAGUUGGUGGGGUAAAGGCUCACCAAGGCAACGAUCUCUAGCUGUUCUGAGAGGAAGAUCAGCCACACUGGGACUGAGACACGGCCCAGACUCCUACGGGAGGCAGCAGUGGGGAAUAUUGCACAAUGGGGGAAACCCUGAUGCAGCCAUGCCGCGUGUGUGAAGAAGGCCUUCGGGUUGUAAAGCACUUUCAGUUGUGAGGAAAAGUUAGUAGUUAAUACCUGCUCACCGUGACGUUAACAACAGAAGAAGCACCGGCUAACUCCGUGCCAGCAGCCGCGGUAAUACGGAGGGUGCGAGCGUUAAUCGGAAUUACUGGGCGUAAAGCGCACGCAGGCGGUUUGUUAAGCUAGAUGUGAAAGCCCCGGGCUCAACCUGGGAUGGUCAUUUAGAACUGGCAGACUAGAGUCUUGGAGA